RNAcentral lists this ribosomal RNA (97 nucleotides) under Staphylococcus epidermidis. Its description in RNAcentral is "partial 16S ribosomal RNA". It matches the Rfam family "Bacterial small subunit ribosomal RNA", at positions 1 to 92 of the family's 1533-position model. The record is from RNAcentral. Lineage: Bacteria; Bacillati; Bacillota; Bacilli; Caryophanales; Staphylococcaceae.
UUUUUAUGGAGAGUUUGAUCCUGGCUCAGGAUGAACGCUGGCGGCGUGCCUAAUACAUGCAAGUCGAGCGAACAGACGAGGAGCUUGCUCCUCUGAC